UUGUAAGAACAGGGGGGUGCUUUAAAGCUGAGAAAUACCCUCAUUAACUGAUCCAGGCAAUACUGGCGUAGUGAGUUUCUUCUUUUUUAAG
Molecule: non-coding RNA, 91 nt
Filed under: Metamycoplasma canadense
Lineage: Bacteria; Bacillati; Mycoplasmatota; Mycoplasmoidales; Metamycoplasmataceae
Also listed under: 1 other name
Description: Mycoplasma canadense TPP riboswitch aptamer (THI element)
Rfam family: TPP riboswitch aptamer (THI element)
About the family: Vitamin B(1) in its active form thiamin pyrophosphate (TPP) is an essential coenzyme that is synthesised by coupling of pyrimidine and thiazole moieties in bacteria.
Source: Rfam by way of RNAcentral